This is a non-coding RNA of Crepidotus variabilis, 83 nucleotides long. The record is from the annotation of a GenBank genome assembly. NCBI's taxonomy places the organism in Eukaryota, Fungi, Basidiomycota, Agaricomycetes, Agaricales, Crepidotaceae.
GCCGUCGUGGCGCAAUGGUAGCGCGUUGCUUUCCUACUCAGAGAGUAAGGCAAAGGUUGCGAGUUCGAUCCUCGCCGUCGGUU